ACAUGAGGACUUAAUGACUAGAUCCAUCUCUUUCUAUACUUGGCAUUGAAUUAAGUUGGGCAGUGAUGUAGAGGUAUUGGAAAUCGUUUCCUGAGCCUCUCAAUCAGGUAUUGGGUUGAGACUAGCUCCAUUUUAAAUUAAACAUGCAAUUUAGGUAAAUAAAAUAUUAUGACUCUUUAUCUGGAAUUUUAUAAAGGUCUUUUAGUUUCUUCCUGAAUAUUGGGACUCUGGCUUAUCUACAAUCACACAUUCCUGAUAACUUGACUACUACUACUACUAAUAUAAAAUCAGGAAGGGACUUCACAAUUUUUUAGAGGACUGUUCUAUAGGAUCAAUCCGUAAAAGAAUAAUUCUUGAAAAACGACUUGAGAUUGAGCACUACCUUUUCAUUUUUCCAUCUGGAUCCUUUACACCUGCAGAAAUCCCUGCAGAGGUCCUUCCAACAAGAACAGAGAUUAUCCUCAAGGGAUAGUCUAUGAUGGGGCCAGCCCCUUAUGGCUCACCUGGAAUAGAUAUGGGAGGCAGUGCUUGUUGUGAUGCAGUGCUUGUUGUGAUCCAGUCUGACUUUGUGAUUCUCACCUGCACAGCACCUUGUGCGUGGUAUUUGCUUCAUGUUGUAGACACUUUGGUCCCAUCACAGACUCCCUUUCCAGGGCAGAUGUUUCUGUCACUGCUGUGAGGGUGGGCUGCCCAAAGCUCAGAGCUGUACCUAUUCUUGGCUAAGGAAGUUACUUCCUUUAGAAAUGCCUGGGUUAGGGUUAGGGUUAACCACCUUGCUGCCACCCCUAUCCUCAACUGAGGGGCAGCCCACUGUUUGACUGUCAGAUACUGGGGUGAAAAAGCCUGGGCUCCCUUACUCAAGGUCAGACAACUCUGUGGUACUAUUCAUGCUCCAAAAUUCCCUGAGAAAGGGUAGACUUCAGCUGAAUCCACAUCUUGGCGUCUCCUAUCCCAUGCUUCCAUCACUCCCUUACAGAUUUUACUUGUAAGCAUGCCCUCCAAGAAUCACUUGCACAAUAACCCCCCUCUCAGACUCUGCUUCUAGGGAACCUGACCUAGAGCACUUAGUAUUUGGGAGCAGUUGUGAAUAAUGUGGUUGAGGAAUUCUCUUGGUGGCUCAGAACGUAAACAUUCCUACCACCAUGCCCCAGGGUACUAGGGAUAGUCCGCAGGAGUGGGGUGCACCAUGAAGUUAUUGUUUGGAAGUUCAGCCUGGCCUAUCCCAGCUCAUGAGAUGUUGGUCCUACAUACAUACUAUGUAUGUACUUGACAAUACGUCCAUCUCCAGGGCUGAAGUGGAAGCAGAGUGGUCUUUGAGCAUUAAGUUGUCCCUCUUUACCUACCUGCCAAUUAAUCUCAGGUUAAGUACCCUUAACAUUCUUAUUUAAUUUACCCCCAAAGGAGUCUAUCUUGUAAGAAAAUAAUAUGAUCAGUGCCACUUGCAUGCUACUCUUUCAAUUCUUCCUCUAUCUUGCCUUCACCUGAGACUAGACUCAUUCCUUCUCAUCUUUUGUUGUACUAGUCUGGGCAAAUUUAGUCCUAGAAAUCCUGAUUUAACCUGGAAGAACUGAAAGAGGCAGCCAUGUUCCUGGUUUCAGGGAACUGGUAAGUAUAGUGAUUAAACAUCACCUCAGGUUGAGCUGUCCAGGAAGUGGACUCAGUAGAAAUGAAGACGGAUGACGUUUAUUAGGGAAAGCUUUGAGCAUCAGCAGCUGUGGAAGGGAGAGGAGGAGACAUGAUUGAGAAGAGGGAGGAAUUGAGCAGAGUGCAUUCUUAAUGGAAGCCUCAGCUGACCCAUGGGGAGCUCUGAGCUGGGAUGACCCUUAAGAAUUGUCUUGGUUUGGGCAAUGGAGCAGGGCCUUCGUAAACACCAUAGCAGUUGUUCAUUGGAUGUGCGCUGCCUUGGAAAGGGGGGGGCAGGUGGUGAUCUUCAGUGUGGAGGCUUUCUUCAGCAGAGGCAAUCCUUGUAGGGGCCUGACAGCUGGGGUUUAUCUGCCUGCAACACUUCCUGUAGUGGUGCACUGGGCCCUUCAUUUCUAGAGAAGAAUCUAGGAGGUGGCAUACACAUAAGGUCACUUCUGCAUUUAGGAAAUGCUGGUAUAGACAGACACCCAGUCUACUGCUCUAAGAUUUACUAUACGUGGCCUGAAGCCUCUCAGGACACACUUGACUGAAAAGCCUAUCUCCAGGAAUGUACUUGGAAAACUCAUGCAGGUGAGAUAGGUUCUGGCUCUUAACCACUUGCAAGUUAUCACAGUUGGUUGGGGCUGGAUAUGAGCAUAGGCUUAUUUAUCUGCUGCCUUCUAGUUGCUGGUCCAAGAAGAAAAUAGAGUUGUUUGAAGUCCCAUGAGCUCUAUUAGAGGGUAGUGUUUUUGUAACAUAAGAUUAUGAAUUCUAUUCCUAGUAUCAUAUGAUUUAAAUUUAGCAGGGAGCUGGACUGGCUGUGUGUCUUGACCAUGUAUCUAUUAAAAGAAAGCCCUGGGCUAAAUGAGAAAGGCUUAUCACAGCUUCUCCUUAUGUUUUGGAAACCUUGAAGGAAGGAAGAAUAUUUGGAAAGUGAGAAACUUAAUAAUAGAAAUUUAAGUAGACAAGGGACAACUAGACUCAGGAAAGUUUUAGUAAACUUAAAAAUGUCAACUAAUUGAUUUGAUCAAAUGUAAGACUUGCAACAUUUUGUAUUCUUUCUUUCUUUCUUUUUUUUUAAACACUGCAUCUACUGCAUUUGGAAGUUCCAAGGCUAGGAUUUGAGGGAUUGAAUUGGAGCUAUAGCUGCCAGCCUACACCAUAACCACAGCAAUGCAGGAUCCAACCCAUGUCUGCGACCUAAACACAGCUCACGGCAAUACCAGAUCCUUAGCCCACUGAGCAAGACCAGGGAUUGAACCUGCAUCCUCAUGGAUACUAGGUGGGUUUGUAACCCGCUGAGCCACAACGGGAAUUCCAACAUUUUGUAUUCUUAUUUCCAUUUUUUAAACUAUGCAUUUUCUCUUAUAAACCUUGUGUUUUUUUCCUUGUUGUUGAAAGUAUGUCCAGAGUUAGAACCUCUUUUUGUAAAACGGAAAUGAUAGACGAAUCAGCUAUGACAUUUUAAAGUAUGGGUUAUAAAGCAAUUUACAAAUUAGUAAUUGCACAGAGUGCUUGGAAAAGUGGUACAUGUUUUGAGUAGCCCAUCAAAUUCAGUGGGAUUUAAUCUCAUCUCCAGACUUCUUUAAUGCUCUGUCUGAUAGACCAGCAAAGAUAUGAAAAUGGGACAGUACAUUGUCAAAACCCCAAAAGGGGGUGCCUAUUCAGUGUAACCAGGUAGUCCAUUUAAAUAGGGGUUUCACAAUCUUCUUAGAGAUCCAUUCAGGAGAAAUAAAGCCUCUUCACUUUAAUUUAGACAGCACCUUAGAGGUACUGUUAGACAGUAAAUGACUCUGAUAGAACUUUUAUUAUGGCUUAUGGUCUUGAUACUGAAACAUGGAAAGCAGAUCUCAAUGACGGGAAUGGAGCAACAAAAGGGACUUGGAAAAUUCUGGGCUUCAGGCACCUGUGAGAGAGGUAGACUCUACUCCUGAGUAGUAAUCUUGCUUCAAAACACCAAAUAUGGAGUUAUUUCUUCGUUCCUUUUUUUUUUUUCAGCUGGAAAAUGCAGUAGAGAAAAGAUGAUUUUGCCCCUUUGCAUAUCCAAACUGGAGAACCGAAUAAAAUACUAAAGAUCUAAUAAGAUUUAGCUUUCCAGGAAUAUAAAUAAUUUAAUCAGAUUAAUGACAUUGUUCUACCUGAGGGGUUCCAUAAUUAGUGGAUUAUUGAAGCCACGUGAAAGUUAUCUGCCAUUAGCACCUGAAGGAAUUCCUGUUGUUUUAGACUGUGGAAUCAAGCAAUAUGAAUAUUCCUAUCAUGCAAACUGUAAAGAUAAUAACCCCCUGGCAUUUUGUAAGCUAUAUAAAUCCACGGAUUUCACAUUAAAUAUUUAAGGCACAGGAGGUGUUAUUUGUUAGGAUAUAGAUAAAGGGAGUUCAACUGCCUCAGGCCUUAUUUCUUCUUUUGGGAAGUCUGUUACUUUGUUGAAGGUAUUUUCAUGCCCUUAUUAUGGUGUUUUCCCCCUCUUUUGUUCAUACAUUGUUUCAGUUCCUCUGGAGGUAUUCUUUGGGUUUUGUAUGAGAAACAUUCAAAAUACGUUUACAGAAGGUUGGUUUUCCUUUUCAUAUAAAAAAGAAAUUCAUACCAGGGGCUCAUGCAGAGAUGAAUCAAGUACACUUUCAGUACAUGGGAAAUGCUAGGAUUCUAUGGAAAUACUGUCUCAUUACUCAGCCUAAAAUAUAUAAAAUCCAAGUUUUUUUCAAAUUUAUAUGUUCCACUCCUUUCAUUUAUAUGUUAUUUAGCUAUGGGAAAAAAAGAUUGGCCUUUAAAUUUGGACCUGUUAUUUCAUUUUUCAUAUUUUGUGAGACCUCCACAUAAACAAAAUUCAUAAAUCAUAAGUUAGAAAAUACGUGUGAGACUGUGUUUAAAUACUGAUGAGCUUAUAAAUCAGUGGAAUUAUAAUGUGGAUAUAAUAUAACAUGAUAUAGAAAACACAGCCAUGUUGUUGCCAGAGGUAGAGGUAGGGUGGGUGGGUAAUGUGAAAUAGAUGGUAGGACUCAAAAGUAUAAACUUCUAGUUAAAAAAGAAAUUUAAUGGAGAUGUAGUACACAGCCUGACAACUAGAGUUAAUUACAUUAUAUUACUUAUUUGAAAGUUGCUACUAAAAAAGUAGAUCUUAAAAGUUCUCACUCAAGAAGAAAAACAUUAGGAGACAGAUUUAAGAUGGCAGAAUAAGACAGGAACUCACCUUCUCUCAUAAAAAUAACAAAAUUACAACCAACUGCUGAACAGCCUUCAGCCAAAUGGACUGGAAAAAUCUCAAAAAGAUAUCCUACACCAGAAAAAAAAGAGGAGGCCACAUCAAGAGGUAGGAGGGGCAAUUAUGUGAUAUGAGCAACCCCAUACCUGCUGGGUGGGCAGCCCACAGACUGGAAAGUAACUGUAUCACAGAGACUCAACUAAAGGAGUGAGAGUUCUGAGCCCCACGUCAGGUGCCCAUGCCUGGGGAUCUGGCAUUGGGAGAAAGAGACCCCAGAGCAUUUGGCAUUGAAGGCCAGUGGGGCUUGUGCACAGGGGCUCCAUGGGACUGGGGGAAACGGAGACCCCAUUCUUGAAAGGCACAUACAAGCUUUCAUGUGCACUGGGUCCCAGGGCAAAGCAGAGGCUCCAAGGAAUCUGGGUUGGUCGGACCUGACAGCAAUUCUUGGAGGAUCUCCUGGGAAAACAGGGGCUGACUGCUGGCUCUUGUUGUUGGGGAGGGAUGCUGGAGGCAAAGCUCUAGGGAAUGUUCAUCAGCAUGUCUUUCUCUAGAGGUGGCCUUUUUUGGAAAAUCUGGCCCCACCCAUCAGUAAACAGGCUGCCUAAAGUUCUUCCCCCCCCGGGGGGGGGCACACAGCCACAUCUAAUCUCACCCAGAGACAAAGUCCCACCUACCAGAGGGAUAUGAAUCUGCCCCACCUCUGGGUGGGCAGGCACCAGUUCCUCCCAUCAGAAAGCCUACCCCUUACCAACUUCAGCCACAAGGGGGGCAGGACAUCAGAAGUAAGAGAGACUACAACUCUAUUGUCUGCAAAAA
This 5638-nucleotide long non-coding RNA is filed under the name Sus scrofa (pig). RNAcentral describes it as "lncRNA (ENSSSCG00000057291.1)". Lineage: Eukaryota; Metazoa; Chordata; Mammalia; Artiodactyla; Suidae. The record is from RNAcentral.